UUGAAAGGGAAACGAUUGAAGUCAGUCGUACCUAUGGGUAAUCAGCCUUUUGGGUGUGAUUUUGUGGAGCGUGAGGAGUUAAACGCCUUCAUGCCUGCAUAUUCGUGCACUUUAGGUGUACUUGCCCGUGUGUAAGUUAACAUCAAUUUUGGUGGUCAUAAAAUGGCUGGAGGAAUGUAGCUUCGAUCUUGUAUUGAAGUGUUAUAGCCUUCGGUAGAUGUGACGAUCGGGAUUGAGGAUUGCAACGGAUACCCUUCGGGGCUACCUGUCUGAUCUCUGAUUGUUGCUCUGGUGCCGAAAGCUUGCUUACGGUUAUCAAAGUCGAUGUUCAAUAGGUUAGAAUGGGUUAAAUUCGUUAAG
Molecule: ribosomal RNA, 360 nt
Filed under: uncultured Glomeromycotina
Lineage: Eukaryota; Fungi; Glomeromycota
Description: LSU rRNA
Source: RNAcentral